Molecule: long non-coding RNA, 648 nt
Filed under: Nicotiana benthamiana
Lineage: Eukaryota; Viridiplantae; Streptophyta; Magnoliopsida; Solanales; Solanaceae
Description: long non-coding RNA (NBEN_LNC041960)
Source: RNAcentral
AACUAAAAAAUUUUGGUCUUUCAAGGAAAAAAUAACAUUAACUAGAUCAAAAGAAAAAUGAUUAAAAGCAUAUUGAAAUUUUAAAAUUUGAGAUUUAGAAAAAAAAAACAGAAAUAAAUAGACUUUUAUAAUUUAAAUAACUAAUAAAAAUAGAUUUGUAUAGAGAGAAUAUAAAGAAGAAAAUAAGAAAUUAAAAAAUUAAGAGAGGAAAGUAAAGAAAUAUUUGGGAAAGAGAAGAAGGAAAGCGUAGGGUGGCCUGGCAGGAAGGAGGGUUUUAUUGUAUAAACUUUUAACCAAAAAGUCGACGGAGCGGAGCCCCUCUCCUUUUCUAGCUGCCCAGAUUGAAUUCCUCUGGGAACAACUAAACUAUUAGCCAAAGGUCUAGUGGAAACUGCUUACUCGAGGGAAACUCCCCUUUUUGUCUCGUACCUCCGCUCCUAAGCUAACUAAGAGCGCUAUCCGUUCCUACGCCCCCUACCGAACCUGAGGAUGAAACUUGAGAUUCAUUCUUCUCAAAACAAAAGCAGUACCGAAGAUAGUAAGAAAUCCGGACAAAACCUUCCUGUUUUUGGGGAAGAAGAAAGUACCGGAUUAAGUAGGCAAUCUUAGGACAAUUCUUUUUCUUCAUUAGGGCUCUUAGCCUCGAGU